RNAcentral lists this ribosomal RNA (447 nucleotides) under uncultured bacterium. RNAcentral's name for it is "bacterial SSU rRNA". It matches the Rfam family "Bacterial small subunit ribosomal RNA", at positions 28 to 490 of the family's 1533-position model. The record is from RNAcentral.
GACGAACGCUUGCGGCGUGCCUAAUGUAUGCAAGUCGAGCGGAUCUUAUUCCUUCGGGAGUAAGGUGAGCGGCGAACGGUUGAGUAACACGUAGGCAACCUGCCCCGAAGUGGGGGAUAACUCCGCGAAAGCGGCGCUAAUACCGCAUGUGGACGCCCAUCGCCUGGUGGGUUCUCCAAAGUGGCAACACGCUUCGGGAUGGGCCUGCGGCCUAUCAGCUUGUUGGUGGGGUGACGGCCUACCAAGGCGACGACGGGUAGCUGGUCUGAGAGGAUGGUCAGCCAGACAGGGACUGAGACACGGCCCUGACUCCUUUGGGGGGCAGCAAUGAGGGAUCUUGCGCAAUGGGCGAAAGCCUGACGCAGCGACGCCGCGUGGGUGAUGAAGUCUCUCGGGAUGUAAAGCCCUUUUGUCGGGGACGAGAACGAACGGUACCCGGCGAAUAAG